Molecule: ribosomal RNA, 695 nt
Filed under: uncultured Clostridium sp.
Lineage: Bacteria; Bacillati; Bacillota; Clostridia; Eubacteriales; Clostridiaceae
Description: bacterial SSU rRNA
Rfam family: Bacterial small subunit ribosomal RNA
Source: RNAcentral
UCAGGAUGAACGCUGGCGGCGUGCCUAACACAUGCAAGUCGAGCGAUUUUCUUCGGAAGAGGGCGGCGGACGGGUGAGUAACGCGUGGGUAACCUGCCCUGUACACACGGAUAACAUACCGAAAGGUAUGCUAAUACGGGAUAACAUAAGAAAGUCGCAUGGCUUUCUUAUCAAAGCUUUUGCGGUACAGGAUGGACCCGCGUCUGAUUAGCUAGUUGGUAAGGUAACGGCUUACCAAGGCGACGAUCAGUAGCCGACCUGAGAGGGUGAUCGGCCACAUUGGAACUGAGACACGGUCCAAACUCCUACGGGAGGCAGCAGUGGGGAAUAUUGCACAAUGGGCGAAAGCCUGAUGCAGCAACGCCGCGUGAGCGAUGAAGGCCUUCGGGUCGUAAAGCUCUGUCCUCAAGGAAGAUAAUGACGGUACUUGAGGAGGAAGCCCCGGCUAACUACGUGCCAGCAGCCGCGGUAAUACGUAGGGGGCUAGCGUUAUCCGGAAUUACUGGGCGUAAAGGGUGCGUAGGCGGUCUUUCAAGUCAGAAGUGAAAGGCUACGGCUCAACCGUAGUAAGCUUUUGAAACUGUAAGACUUGAGUGCAGGAGAGGAGAGUGGAAUUCCUAGUGUAGCGGUGAAAUGCGUAGAUAUUAGGAGGAACACCAGUUGCGAAGGCGGCUCUCUGGACUGUAACUGACGCU